GAUGAACGCUAGCGGCAGGCUUAACACAUGCAAGUCGAGGGGUAUUGGUUUUCGGACCAAGAGACCGGCGCACGGGUGCGUAACGCGUAUGCAAUCUACCUUUUGCAGAGGGAUAGCCCAGAGAAAUUUGGAUUAAUACCUCAUAGUAUAGUACUUUGGCAUCAAGGAACUAUUAAAGUCACAACGGCAAAGAUGAGCAUGCGUCCCAUUAGCUAGUUGGUAAGGUAACGGCUUACCAAGGCUACGAUGGGUAGGGGUUCUGAGAGGGAGAUCCCCCACACUGGUACUGAGACACGGACCAGACUCCUACGGGAGGCAGCAGUGAGGAAUAUUGGACAAUGGCGCAAGCCUGA
This 353-nucleotide ribosomal RNA is filed under the name uncultured bacterium. RNAcentral describes it as "bacterial SSU rRNA". It matches the Rfam family "Bacterial small subunit ribosomal RNA", at positions 28 to 386 of the family's 1533-position model. The record is from RNAcentral.